UACGUAGGGAGCGAGCGUUGUCCGGAUUUACUGGGUGUAAAGGGUGCGUAGGCGGCUCUGCAAGUCAGAAGUGAAAUCUAUGGGCUUAACCCAUAAACUGCUUUUGAAACUGUGGAGCUUGAGUGAAGUAGAGGUAGGCGGAAUUCCCGGUGUAGCGGUGAAAUGCGUAGAGAUCGGGAGGAACACCAGUGGCGAAGGCGGCCUACUGGGCUUUAACUGACACUGAGGCUCGAAAGCGUGGGGAGCAAACAGG
RNAcentral lists this ribosomal RNA (253 nucleotides) under uncultured bacterium. RNAcentral's name for it is "partial 16S ribosomal RNA". It matches the Rfam family "Bacterial small subunit ribosomal RNA", at positions 524 to 776 of the family's 1533-position model. The record is from RNAcentral.